ACUAAAGGUUAUACCACGCUGUAAGCACAGCUUCUCUAGUUUGAUCCGUUAAGUUAAGUAACUUUGGGCCUGGUUGGUACCUAAAUCGGAGGCGGCCUGGAAAUCCCAGAUACCGUAAGCA
Molecule: ribosomal RNA, 121 nt
Filed under: Gongylonema pulchrum
Lineage: Eukaryota; Metazoa; Nematoda; Chromadorea; Rhabditida; Gongylonematidae
Source: RNAcentral